Molecule: long non-coding RNA, 549 nt
Filed under: Struthio camelus australis
Lineage: Eukaryota; Metazoa; Chordata; Aves; Struthioniformes; Struthionidae
Description: lncRNA (ENSSCUG00000014878.1)
Source: RNAcentral
AUUUUUUACCUCAGAGGUGAACUGAAAUGAUAAGAAACAUUAAAGCUGCUAAUGUGCUUAGCUAUUUUCUUGCUGAACACCAUCAGGAAACGAAUAGUAAUAAAAUAAAACUAAAAAACCAUUCACACUGCCGGAAGUCCCUCACCUACUUUGUUCCGGAAAAUACAAAAUGAUACUGUGCAACGCUUUCCAUUCUGCUUUAUGUCUGUGUUGACAAGCCGUUCACCCAGCCCAGUGUGCUGCUCCAGCAGUGGUCAUAAGCAGCCACCUCGAGAGAAAAGCACGUCCCAGGUUUUAUCCUCUGCCCUUCUUCCUAAAGUACCACCCAUCCAGCCUUCUGACAACUUCAUCUGUGAGUGUAGCCGGUACAAAAGAGAGAAACAUGGAAACAACAUCUCUACAAGUAUGGAGACAACACCGAAGCAACUGAAACUCUUUGAUGUCAAGCGGUCUUUGACUAUGAUAGAAUUAGUUACAUCAAAAACUUCUUACUUCACCAACUUUUGCAAUAAUAUCAUAAGCCUACGCUAUGAAGUUCAUUGGCAUUAA